GUCCAGGGCCUAACGAUGUACACUAGCUAUUGGGAGUAUCGACCCUCUCUGUGGCGUAGCUAACGCGUUAAGUGUACCGCCUGGGAAGUACGGCCGCAAGGCUAAACUCAAGGAAUAGACGGGACUCGCACAAGUGGUGGAUUAUGUGGUUUAAUUCGUAGAUAAGCGAAGAACCUUACCUAGAUUAGAAAUCCUGAUGACAGCUCGCCGAAAGGUGGGUCUUCCGCAAGGACAGCAGGACAGGUGAUGCAUGGCCGUCGU
RNAcentral lists this ribosomal RNA (261 nucleotides) under uncultured bacterium. Its description in RNAcentral is "partial 16S ribosomal RNA". It matches the Rfam family "Bacterial small subunit ribosomal RNA", at positions 793 to 1055 of the family's 1533-position model. The record is from RNAcentral.